UGCGACCCCAUAGACAGCAGCCCACCAGGCUCCCCCGUCCCUGGGAUUCUCCAGGCAAGAACACUGGAGUGGGUUGCCAUUUCCUUCUCCAAUGCUCCACUUGAAGCUGGCAACCUUACUGGUUACUCUGUAAAUGAAAUGAAUCAGAGCAGCACUCCAAAAUGUGACAUACAUUGCCACCAAAAUACAUGGAAACCCAGCAAGCCUUCAAACUUGAACUGAAACUGUACUACUGGAACUCCUAGCUCUCCAGCUUACAGACAGAAGAUCACAGGACUUCUCAGCUUCAAUAAUCCACUCCUUUCAUCCAGAGGUAGAGUCUCUUCCUCAUGCCUUGAAUCCUGGCUGGCUUGGUGACUUGCUUUGACCAACAGAAUGAUAAACAACAUGAUUGAAGCUGCAGAGCUCAGACCUCAGAGGCUUAGCUCCUGCCUUCAUCAUCUGAGAAUCCUGAGGCCACCACUGUGCCAGGAAGAAGAUGGAGAUGCAGGACCACAUGAGAGAGAAGCUCAGCGCCCGGCCAUUCCAGCUGAGCCCAGCAUCUAGUGGAUGCAGUCACCGGAGACAACCCAGACCAGACCAGUGGAAUAACCACCCAGCCAACCCACAGAACUGUGAAAAAGAACGAAUUGUCAUG
Bubalus bubalis (water buffalo) is the source of this 637-nucleotide long non-coding RNA. RefSeq lists it as uncharacterized. The record is from RefSeq and is a predicted model, not a curated record. Lineage: Eukaryota; Metazoa; Chordata; Mammalia; Artiodactyla; Bovidae. The transcript has 3 exons.